GAUGAACGCUGGCGGCGUGCCUAAUACAUGCAAGUAGAACGCUGAAGCUUGGUGCUUGCACCGAGCGGAUGAGUUGCGAACGGGUGAGUAACGCGUAGGUAACCUGCCUCUUAGCGGGGGAUAGCUAUUGGAAACGAUAGCUAAUACCGCAUAAAAGACGAUAUCGCAUGAUAUUGAUUUGAAAGGUGCAAAUGCAUCACUAAGAGAUGGACCUGCGUUGUAUUAGCUAGUUGGUGAGGUAACGGCUCACCAAGGCAACGAUACAUAGCCGACCUGAGAGGGUGAUCGGCCACACUGGGACUGAGACACGGCCCAGACUCCUACGGGAGGCAGCAGUAGGGAAUCUUCGGCAAUGGGGGCAACCCUGACCGAGCAACGCCGCGUGAGUGAAGAAGGUUUUCGGAUCGUAAAGCUCUGUUGUAAGAGAAGAACGAGUGUGAGAGUGGAAAGUUCACACUGUGACGGUAACUACCA
Molecule: ribosomal RNA, 474 nt
Filed under: Streptococcus parasanguinis
Lineage: Bacteria; Bacillati; Bacillota; Bacilli; Lactobacillales; Streptococcaceae
Description: bacterial SSU rRNA
Rfam family: Bacterial small subunit ribosomal RNA
Source: RNAcentral